This is a long non-coding RNA of Anolis carolinensis (green anole), 454 nucleotides long. RefSeq lists it as uncharacterized. The transcript has 3 exons. NCBI's taxonomy places the organism in Eukaryota, Metazoa, Chordata, Lepidosauria, Squamata, Anolidae. The record is from RefSeq and is a predicted model, not a curated record.
UUAUAUUUCUGGUCACAUGCCCUGAUGUGACAUCACAAUGCAAUAUCAUCAGCUGUUGGUGGUGGGCAGAGUAGACUUAGGUGGAUCCAGCUAUCCAUAUCUCUGAAACUAAAGACCUGCUAGGAACCUCCAGAGUGAAUCCUGGGUCACACAGACAUGGAUUAAUGUCUAAAGUCAGCAGUUCUGCUACAAAUCCAUGACUGCAUUGUAUUGUCUUUCUGCAGAAGCUGAAUAGGAAACACGGUACCAACCAUGUCUAUUUUACAGUGAGCUGAAGAAAGCAACACCACAGGAAAUUACAAAGACCAUUUAUUUGAAUCAGAAAGAUAGAAGCACGUUUUGCAAAGGAAGAAAACAUGCAGGAAACAGAAGGUCCCAUCACGUGAUGCAAGGUCUCUUUCAUAGAUAAUCCACAGGCAUUCCUAAGAAAAAGAUCUGCAGACAGAACCUUUUG